AAUCUUAUCUGAUUACUCCUAUCCAUUUAAGUUGUACACAAGAUUACACAUGAUAACAAAAUCUAAAUUACCAAUGAGUUUUAACAACUAAAAUCAACUCUAUAUAAAGCUGUGAGUGUCAAAAGAAAUGUCAGAAGUAAAGCUUGUUAGCUCAUCUACUUAAAUGGCUGUGAAAUCAGCAAGCAUAAUGACCAUGGUGAUGGUGGUGAUGGUGCUGAUGCUUGCGGAAACUGCAAAGUCUGACGGUUGUGACGAUUGUAAUCGAAAGUGUGCCAAGAAAUGCUACAUCAGAGGACAAUGGGACUUUGAAUGCUUAAACCAUUGUGUAACCAAGUGUUUUCAAAGUCCUGUAUGUAAUGGUACUCACUCGCUUCCUGCAGGUGUUGAUCGAGAUGGAAACAGAGGUUCUGGUGGAAUAUUACAGGGAAUAAAUUAGAGUACGAUGAUACGAUAACUUGGUGUUGGAAGUAUGUGUGUGACAGAGCUCUGAAUUGUUACAUGUAUCAGUUAUUCAGUUUAAUAAUGGAACAUGCCUGAGUUCAGUUGUUGUUUUA
Daucus carota subsp. sativus is the source of this 554-nucleotide long non-coding RNA. RefSeq lists it as uncharacterized. The record is from RefSeq and is a predicted model, not a curated record. NCBI's taxonomy places the organism in Eukaryota, Viridiplantae, Streptophyta, Magnoliopsida, Apiales, Apiaceae. The transcript has 2 exons.